Non-coding RNA from Salmo salar (Atlantic salmon), 55 nucleotides. The record is from Rfam. Lineage: Eukaryota; Metazoa; Chordata; Actinopteri; Salmoniformes; Salmonidae.
UGCACUCACUACUGUAAGUCGCUUUGGAUAAGAGCGUCUGCUAAAAUGACUAAAA